Molecule: ribosomal RNA, 586 nt
Filed under: uncultured bacterium
Lineage: Bacteria
Description: partial 16S ribosomal RNA
Rfam family: Bacterial small subunit ribosomal RNA
Source: RNAcentral
UGGGGAAUUUUGGACAAUGGGCGAAAGCCUGAUCCAGCAAUGCCGCGUGUGUGAAGAAGGCCUUCGGGUUGUAAAGCACUUUUGUCCGGAAAGAAAUCCUUGGCUCUAAUACAGUCGGGGGAUGACGGUACCGGAAGAAUAAGCACCGGCUAACUACGUGCCAGCAGCCGCGGUAAUACGUAGGGUGCAAGCGUUAAUCGGAAUUACUGGGCGUAAAGCGUGCGCAGGCGGUUUGCUAAGACCGAUGUGAAAUCCCCGGGCUCAACCUGGGAACUGCAUUGGUGACUGGCAGGCUAGAGUAUGGCAGAGGGGGUAGAAUUCCACGUGUAGGCAGUGAAAUGCGUAGAGAUGUGGAGGAAUACCGAUGGCGAAGGCAGCCCCCUGGGCCAAUACUGACGCUCAUGCACGAAAGCGUGGGGAGCAAACAGGAUUAGAUACCCUGGUAGUCCACGCCCUAAACGAUGUCAACUAGUUGUUGGGGAUUCAUUUCCUUAGUAACGUAGCUAACGCGUGAAGUUGACCGCCUGGGGAGUACGGCCGCAAAGAUUAAAACUCAAAGGAAUUGACGGGGUCAUAGCUGUUUCCU